AUUAAAUGUAUUAAUAUACAUAACAGAAAUUAAUUAAUUGUACAACUAAUUCUCCCCAAAAAACCCCGAAUAAUCAUACUAAAUAAGUGCACGGAAUUAACCAUCGUGACUUAUAAUUAAAGACUGACCUAAGAGAGGUUUGGGACAGCUGAAAAAUAAUAAACAAAAAAAAUAAAAAAAAAUCCUGUAAAGGGAACACCCUAAGAGAGAAAUAUAAGAAUCAAUUAUAAUACUAAAAUAUAUCUUAUAAACUAAUUAACGAAGGUUUCAUUAGUGUCUUCGAUGGUGUCAUGAAUAAUUGGCGUUUUCCCAUCCGGUAAAAGCUCCAUAUCCAGCGACGAUUCAAAAGCUCCAUAAUCCGGAAAUAAAAUCACAGUCGAUCAAUCAGCAACCUGAACCGCUACUAUCAGUGAAACGCAUAUACACACAGGGAAUAGGUCUUGACAUCUAAAAAAUAUGGCACGGCAAAUAACUAUGUCCGACGGACAAAAAUGAAAAAAUGUUUUGAGCCAUUUACUAUAAACGAAAUUAAGGUCAGCAUACACAAUCUACAACAACAUCUCACUAAAAUAAUGAUAAUUUAAAUUAAAAGCCAAAUUAUUAUUAUGAAUCACCGAAAUAAGGAGCAAAAUUUUUCCCCGGAACUUGUGACUAAAUGUUCCGACGUCUGACAAAUACCCCCCACUCCGGUUAUAAACAAUAAAAAAUUAAUUAUUAAAAGUUAAAUUUUUACUAAAAUAAAUAUGAAUAGAAUUAUUGAAACAAUGAAAUUUAAAAUUCGUGUGUAAUAAAAUUACACAUCCUGGCAAUGGUCACCAUUCUGAGAGGUGACGACUUUGGCCACGCAACGGAUUGUGGAGUCGCCACCCUCAUGGCUCCCUUGCAAAAAGGAAAAUGGGUCGCCAACCACUUAGGCGAGGGUCUUGAUCAGAAAAGAACAACACCCGGACCAUAAGUGGAUUUAAUAGAAAAAAAAUUUAAAAAAAAUAAUAAGAAAACCAAUAAUAUGCAUUUCGAUGAGAUAAAGUGAAUUAAAAAAAAUUAUUGAUAUAUAAAUAUAUACUAAAAAUAUAAAGUGUUGUUGUAGACUAUAAUACGCUGAUACCUUGUAAAUAUAUAACCAAUAUGUUUGUUUGAUGUCACCAGUGGUGGACAUACUUUAGUAUGUCGAAGACCGUUACCUUAAAACUAGAGAAAUAUGAUUUAAAAGGAAAAAAAAAUAAGAUACACGUGAAUAUUGAAGAUAUUCACGCAAUAAAAAGAUUUUUGUUGAUUAAAAAAAAUUAAGGGGACUUUAUUAAAUUAUGACAAUUAAGUUAAUAGUGGACAAAACCCGAAGGCAAAAACCACUCUGCAAAUAAAGGGACAAAAGAAAAAAAAAAAAAAAAAACAAUUAUUAAGACAAAAAAAAUUAACCUACAACUUUUAAAUAUUACACGUGAAGUGUCUUCCGCAUCGGAACAAGUCCGUGUACUCCGGGCGCGGCGGAUAAUUUUUGUAAUCUGGCCGGCCGGACCGUACUUGGGUACUGCGGGAAUAAUAUAUAUAUAUAUAUGUUAAAUAUACAUGACACACCACUGACCAAUAACCUUAUAACAACAAACGCUAAAAUGAUUUAUCUAUCAUAAAAAAAAUAAUUUUAUGACAAAAAAAAAAAAAAAGAAAAAAGAAAGGCUCAAUACAUUAUUAAAUAAAUAAAAAAAAAAACAACAAUACGAUACCCAGUCCCGGAUGGGACUCAUCCUAAGAUGGGGAUCUCGGCCCCGGAAAUGGCCGACGCCUUGCUGGAUUAGUACAUUAUGUUUAUACAACGAACACGAGAAAAAAAACUAUAAUUGGCUGCACGCACACAGCAAAACAGACCACAACGGUGGUUCAAAGGGAAGAGAGACUACGAAAAAAUUUCUACACACCGGGCGAGACACAACGACGACGAAUCCGUUUGGGUCUUAAUCGGCUUAACGAUUUACAAAAUAUACAACAGAUAAAAAUAUGAACAAUAUUAGAGUUAUACAGGUAUGGACAGUGGUGGCCAGUGUAUGUGUCAUAUAGGGAACGAUUGUUAAACUGAUAAAGAAUAUUGUGUGUAUAGCGUUCACCUUGACAGCAACAGUACAGUUUUCUGAUUACACGGCCGGAUAUAACGUACGCGCGCCCAUUAGCAAAGCAAAACAGUAAUCUAUCUAUAUCAUACAAUUCACAUUUUGUCACGUUACAGAAACCCCCCUGAGAAAAUUUGACGUAAAACGACAUUAUAUGUUCCCUUAAUCUUCCCAUUAUCAGGAUCCGUGAAAAAUAUAACAAAAUUAAAUCAUAUAUAGAAGAAGUUAAAUUAAUGAUAACAAGUCAAAAUAUAAAAAAACUAGUGGAAGAAAAUAUUGAUCUCUGUAAAACAAAGCAUUACAAAAGCAAGUGAUAGAUUUACAAAGCUAUGCUAUAAUAUUAAGUAAUAAAUUGAGCGAAAAAAGUAAACAAUGAUUUUCUGUAAACUUAACUCUUAUUUUUCAAAAAAUAUAUCUCUUAUUUACGUUCUGCUACUACUAGCUCGUAGUAAUGACAAGCUAUUAAGACUUAUUAUCCCUGAGCUUGAGAUGGCCUUUUAAAAAGUACAAUGAAAAAACUAUGUGGCAAACUUAUUUGUGUAAUUGCUAUAAGAUUUAUGAAAAUUACUGUGGAAAGAUAUACCGGAAAUCAAUUAGAUAAAACACAAUAUAAUUUACCAAAAAAAAAAUGCCUUGGAUUACAUAGAUCAAAGACUUGAUAAGUACCAUUUACUUAAAUUUGUUUUAUUAACUAUUUGUAUUUAUUUUUUAGUUUAAUUUAAAAUGAACAUUAUUUUGUCUAAGUUUAUAAUUUAUAAAUAUAUAAUAAAAAUUGAUCACUUGUGGCUAAUUAAUUAAAUAAAAUGAAAACUAUAUUAAAAAUAUAAUUAAUUUAAAAAGUAAAAAAUAUUAAAUUUAAAAGCCACAAAAAGUUACUAAAAUGUAAUGUAUUUCAGAAACAAUUUUAUUAUCAUCACUAAACAUAUACCGUAUGUGUUGUAUGUAAUAUU
Long non-coding RNA from Daktulosphaira vitifoliae (grape phylloxera), 3052 nucleotides. RefSeq lists it as uncharacterized. The record is from RefSeq and is a predicted model, not a curated record. The transcript is spliced from 3 exons. Lineage: Eukaryota; Metazoa; Arthropoda; Insecta; Hemiptera; Phylloxeridae.